GUUCCUGAGGUACAUAUACUAAAAUUUGAAAAACACAGAGAGGAUUAGCAUUUUCCCUGUGUACUGAUGACAUGCAAAAUCAUGAUACAUUCUGUAUUUUU
This 101-nucleotide small nuclear RNA is filed under the name Fasciola hepatica (liver fluke). The record is from RNAcentral. Lineage: Eukaryota; Metazoa; Platyhelminthes; Trematoda; Plagiorchiida; Fasciolidae.